This 114-nucleotide small nuclear RNA is filed under the name Moschus moschiferus (Siberian musk deer). RNAcentral describes it as "U2 spliceosomal RNA (ENSMMSG00000014269.1)". It matches the Rfam family "U2 spliceosomal RNA". Rfam says of the family: U2 is a small nuclear RNA (snRNA) component of the spliceosome (involved in pre-mRNA splicing). Complementary binding between U2 snRNA (in an area lying towards the 5' end but 3' to hairpin I) and the branchpoint sequence (BPS) of the intron results the bulging out of an unpaired adenosine, on the BPS, which initiates a nucleophilic attack at the intronic 5' splice site, thus starting the first of two transesterification reactions that mediate splicing. Lineage: Eukaryota; Metazoa; Chordata; Mammalia; Artiodactyla; Moschidae. The record is from Rfam by way of RNAcentral.
AUCACUUCUCGGCCUUUUGGCUAAGAUCAAGUGUAGUAUCUGUUCUUAUCAGUUUAAUAAUUUAAAUAACUUUAAACCUUUAGAACUAUUUUUAUAAAGCUUUCAAGAGCCAAU